Molecule: ribosomal RNA, 465 nt
Filed under: uncultured bacterium
Lineage: Bacteria
Description: partial 16S ribosomal RNA
Rfam family: Bacterial small subunit ribosomal RNA
Source: RNAcentral
GACGAACGCUGGCGGCGUGCUUAACACAUGCCAGUCGAACGGAAAGGCCCCUUUGGGGGUACUCGAGUGGCGAACGGGUGAGUAACACGUGAGUAACCUGCCCUUGACUUCGGGAUAACUUCAGGAAACUGGGGCUAAUACCGGAUAGGAAUCCUUGCUGCAUGGGGGGGGUUGGAAAGCGUCGGCGGUUUUGGAUGGACUCGCGGCGUAUCAGCUUGUUGGGGGGGUAGUGGCUUACCAAGGCUUUGUCGGGUAGCCGGACUGAGAGGGCGACCGGCCACAUUGGGACUGAGAUACGGCCCAGACUCCUACGGGAGGCAGCAGUGGGGAAGAUUGCACAAGGGGCGGAGGCCUGAUGCAGCAACGCCGCGUGCGGGAUGACGGCCUUCGGGUUGGAAACCGCUUUCAGCAGGGGCGAAGCUUGUGGUGACGGUACCUGCAGAAGAAGCACCGGCUAACUACGUG